This 425-nucleotide ribosomal RNA is filed under the name uncultured bacterium. RNAcentral's name for it is "bacterial SSU rRNA". It matches the Rfam family "Bacterial small subunit ribosomal RNA", at positions 354 to 796 of the family's 1533-position model. The record is from RNAcentral.
GUGGGGAAUAUUGGACAAUGGGCGCAAGCCUGAUCCAGCCAUGCCGCGUGAGUGAUGAAGGCCCUAGGGUUGUAAAGCUCUUUCACCGGUUAAGAUAAUGACGGUAACCGGAGAAGAAGCCCCGGCUAACUUCGUGCCAGCAGCCGCGGUAAUACGAAGGGGGCUAGCGUUGUUCGGAAUUACUGGGCGUAAAGCGCACGUAGGCGGGUAUUUAAGUCAGGGGUGAAAUCCCGGAGCUCAACUCCGGAACUGCCUUUGAUACUGGGUACCUAGAGUAUGGGAGAGGUAAGUGGAAUUCCGAGUGUAGAGGUGAAAUUCGUAGAUAUUCGGAGGAACACCAGUGGCGAAGGCGGCUUACUGGUCCAUUACUGACGCUGAGGUGCGAAAGCGUGGGGAGCAAACAGGAUUAGAAACCCGAGUAGUCC